UACGGAGGGUGCAAGCGUUAUCCGGAUUUACUGGGUUUAAAGGGUGUGUAGGCGGACUUUUAAGUCAGCGGUGAAAUCUCCGGGCUCAACCCGGAAACUGCCAUUGAUACUAUUGGUCUUGAAUGUUGUUGAGGUGGGCGGAACGGGUCAUGUAGCGGUGAAAUGCAUAGAUAUGACCCGGAACACCGAUUGCGAAGGCAGCCCACUAAGCAACGAUCGACGCUGAGGCACGAAAGCGUGGGGAUCAAACAGG
RNAcentral lists this ribosomal RNA (253 nucleotides) under uncultured bacterium. Its description in RNAcentral is "partial 16S ribosomal RNA". It matches the Rfam family "Bacterial small subunit ribosomal RNA", at positions 524 to 776 of the family's 1533-position model. The record is from RNAcentral.